CGUCCGGCUCCGAGGGCGGCAUGAACGGCGCCGGCGUCUUCCUGGGCCCCUGCGAAGGUGCCCUCUGCGGCGUCCCCGGCCAGAAACGCCGCCGYGUGUCGGCCGCGGAGCCCGUCCGCACUCCCAGCCCCGGCGCCCAGGCCCCCUGGGAGGAGGAGGAGGAAGAGGAGGAAGAUGAGGACGAAGAUCGCUUCCGAGGGGUGCCGCUCCGGCGGACCUGCGCGCUCCGGACCUCCAUGCGCUCCCGGGAUGCUUUCCGCCGGCACAGCUGGGAGCCGGGCAAGGAGCUGCGCGGGGACCCCGGCUACGAGCAGCUCAGCGCCUGCCUCAAAGGGCUGAGUCCCGACAACUUCGACGCCGGCGCGGAGGGGCUGGCGCGGCCCCGGCGGGACCCCCGGCGCCUGCCCCUGCUCCACAGCCACGAYGACCUGGAGUCGCUGCUCUCGCAGGAUGAGGAGGACGAGGAUGACGGGAAGCCGGAGCAGGAGGGUGCGAAGCGGCUGCAGGCGUUUCGGGCCGGGCAGAGCCCUGGUGGCUGCGGCCUCUCCAAAUCCGUGUCGCUGAGCGGCAUCGACAGCUUCCCGGAUGCGGAYGAAAUUUCCCUCUUCGCCUCCCAGCUGAGCCUGGCCAACGGCUUCAGYGCCGGGAGCUGCGGGCAGCUGGCGGCCACGGGCGAGCCGGGGAGCCUGCACCGGGAAGAGACCCGCCUGGGCCGGACCCUCAGCUUCAUCAGGAGGAUGACGGGGAAGUCCAAGUGGGGAUCUCCUCCAGCUCCGGAGGGAACCCGAACCUCCCGCAGUGGCUAUGACUCCCGAGGCAUUUGCAGGGAAAGUGGCUCCUUUCCCCCCCCCCUUCGGAAAUCCAUUGGGGCCAGGAUGACUUGGAAGUGAUGCAUUUUGCGUCUAAACAGUGACUGUUCUCAAGAAGUCGCUGAGCUUGCUUCAAGGCUGCGCUCGCCGGCCGUGACUCAACGGCUCAUUCCCGUUACAAGCGAACGUCGGAUCCCCCCCCGGCCCCCAGAUCGCCGCGACCUCUUUGCAAAAGCUAAAUCAGGGAGCUCGGCCCCUGGCCGGAUCCGCUGGCUCCGCACGGGAGGGGUGUUUCUAAGGGCGGUGUGUUUGCGCGGUUAAAUAAACAUGCAGGGGAAAAAAAAAAGUCGCCCA
RNAcentral lists this long non-coding RNA (1163 nucleotides) under Apteryx haastii (Great spotted kiwi). RNAcentral's name for it is "lncRNA (ENSAHAG00000010632.1)". Lineage: Eukaryota; Metazoa; Chordata; Aves; Apterygiformes; Apterygidae. The record is from RNAcentral.